Molecule: unclassified non-coding RNA, 236 nt
Filed under: plant metagenome
Description: partial contains small subunit ribosomal RNA, internal transcribed spacer 1, and 5.8S ribosomal RNA
Source: RNAcentral
UUUCCGUAGGUGAACCUGCGGAAGGAUCAUUACUGAGUGAGGGCCCCUCGGGGUCCAACCUCCCACCCGUGUUUAACGAACCUUGUUGCUUCGGUGGGCCCGCCUCACGGCCGCCGGGGGGCAUCUGCCCCCGGGCCCGCGCCCGCCGAAGCCACCUGUGAACGCUGUCUGAAGUAUGCAGUCUGAGACAAUUAUUAAAUUAAUUAAAACUUUCAACAACGGAUCUCUUGGUUCCG